This 69-nucleotide transfer RNA is filed under the name Apis andreniformis. Its description in RNAcentral is "tRNA-Leu". The record is from RNAcentral. Lineage: Eukaryota; Metazoa; Arthropoda; Insecta; Hymenoptera; Apidae.
UUUAAUAUGGCAGAAUAGUGCAUUGAAUUUAAGCUUCAAAUAUAAAGUUUUUUAAUACUUUUAUUAAAA